Molecule: ribosomal RNA, 301 nt
Filed under: uncultured bacterium
Lineage: Bacteria
Description: partial 16S ribosomal RNA
Rfam family: Bacterial small subunit ribosomal RNA
Source: RNAcentral
CAGUAGCCGCGGUAACACGUAUGUCACAAGCGUUAUCCGGAUUUAUUGGGCGUAAAGCGCGUCUAGGUGGUUAUGUAAGUCUGAUGUGAAAAUGCAGGGCUCAACUCUGUAUUGCGUUGGAAACUGUGUAACUAGAGUACUGGAGAGGUAAGCGGAACUACAAGUGUAGAGGUGAAAUUCGUAGAUAUUUGUAGGAAUGCCGAUGGGGAAGCCAGCUUACUGGACAGAUACUGACGCUGAAGCGCGAAAGCGUGGGUAGCAAACAGGAUUAGAGACCCCCGUAGUCCCUGUCUCUUAUACA